AUUGAACGCUGGCGGCAUGCCUUACACAUGCAAGUCGAACGGCAGCACGGGUGCUUGCACCUGGUGGCGAGUGGCGAGCGGGUGAGUAAUACAUCGGAACGUACCUUAUCGUGGGGGAUAACGCAGCGAAAGCUGUGCUAAUACCGCAUACGCCCUGAGGGGGAAAGCGGGGGAUCGAAAGACCUCGCGCGAUUAGAGCGGCCGAUGCCUGAUUAGCUUGUUGGUGGGGUAAAAGCCCACAAAGGCGACGAUCAGUAGCUGGUCUGAGAGGACGAUCAGCCACACUGGGACUGAGACACGGCCCAGACUCCUACGGGAGGCAGCAGUGGGGAAUUUUGGACAAUGGGGGCAACCCUGAUCCAGCAAUGCCGCGUGAGUGAAGAAGGCCUUCGGGUUGUAAAGCUCUUUUGUCAGGGAAGAAACACCGGCUCUAACACAGUCCGGGAAUGACGGUACCUGAAGAAUAAGCACCGGCUAACUACGUGCCAGCCGCCGCAGUAA
RNAcentral lists this ribosomal RNA (501 nucleotides) under uncultured bacterium. Its description in RNAcentral is "partial 16S ribosomal RNA". It matches the Rfam family "Bacterial small subunit ribosomal RNA", at positions 29 to 523 of the family's 1533-position model. The record is from RNAcentral.